Molecule: small RNA, 127 nt
Filed under: Marmota monax (woodchuck)
Lineage: Eukaryota; Metazoa; Chordata; Mammalia; Rodentia; Sciuridae
Source: RNAcentral
GCCGGGUGCAGUGGCCCACGCCUGUAAUCCCAGUGACUCUAGAGGCUGAGGCAGGAGGAUCGUGAGUUCAAAGCCAGCCUCAGCAAUCUAGUGAGGCCCUAAGCAAUUCAGUGAGACCCUGUCUCUA